Molecule: ribosomal RNA, 739 nt
Filed under: Triticum aestivum (bread wheat)
Lineage: Eukaryota; Viridiplantae; Streptophyta; Magnoliopsida; Poales; Poaceae
Description: partial small subunit ribosomal RNA
Source: RNAcentral
CAAGUGUGCCUGCCUGAGCGGAAAGAAAGGAACGGGGCUGCGCGCUAGCCGCAGCGGCUCUCGCUUAAGGGGCGUGGUUUCUGAUGCGCAGCGGCAGUUGGGCGGCGUCAAAGUCCCGUGUCGGUUAGUGAGGCGGAAAAGUCGGUGGCCAGACCAGCCAGCCGCUGCCAACCCUGGCCUCCCUCCCUCCUCGCUACCUCGGGGACCUCCGCCGCUAUCGCUAGCACAAGUUGCGCGACGACGACCACAAGUACCACUUCGAGAAGAAGCGGUACAAGGUCUACUUCGAGCAGCAGUAGGAGAAGAUGGAGCAGCAGCAGGAGAAGCGGGAGCGGAAGAGGCCGGCGCCGGGGCGGCCGAAGAUCCAAUCCAGGAAGCAAAAAAAGGGGGAACGAAGCCAACCGAGGGCUAGGUAGGAAGUCCGACAUGUCGUCACGAAGUAGAAGCUCUCUUAUGAUCAUCUAGUAUGGAUGGAGCCACGUACAGACCAACCAAUCCUCUCUAGAUCAGACACUACCACUACUGAGGCUCGACGUUUAACACACUUCAGCCGGUUAAUUGUUCACGAUCAUGUCGAAAUAUACUCGGGAUCAACGUCUAACACACCUAAUGAGCGGCGAAAGAAGCUAACGAGACACGUUAAAAUGAACACCUAAGCACUACAUCGGAGACGAUACCGAGGAGAAGAACUUUUAGGUCUCUGUCUCAAGAAAAGAAAGAGGAUCAAGCACUAUCUGUU